UACGGAGGGUGCAAGCGUUAUCCGGAUUCACUGGGUUUAAAGGGUGCGUAGGUGGGCAGUUAAGUCAGUGGUGAAAUCUCCGGGCUCAACCCGGAAACUGCCAUUGAUACUAUCUGUCUUGAAUAUCGUGGAGGUAAGCGGAAUAUGUCAUGUAGCGGUGAAAUGCUUAGAUAUGACAUAGAACACCAAUGGCGAAGGCAGCUUACUACCCGAAUAUUGACACUGAGGCACGAAAGCGUGGGGAUCAAACAGG
RNAcentral lists this ribosomal RNA (253 nucleotides) under uncultured bacterium. Its description in RNAcentral is "partial 16S ribosomal RNA". It matches the Rfam family "Bacterial small subunit ribosomal RNA", at positions 524 to 776 of the family's 1533-position model. The record is from RNAcentral.